This 253-nucleotide ribosomal RNA is filed under the name uncultured bacterium. RNAcentral's name for it is "partial 16S ribosomal RNA". It matches the Rfam family "Bacterial small subunit ribosomal RNA", at positions 524 to 776 of the family's 1533-position model. The record is from RNAcentral.
UACGGAGGAUGCAAGCGUUAUCCGGAUUUAUUGGGCGUAAAGCGUCCGUAGGUGGUUAUUCAAGUCUGCUGUCAAAGCGCGAGGCUUAACUUCGUAAAGGCAGUGGAAACUGAAUGACUUGAGAAUGAUAGGGGCAGAGGGAAUUCCCAGUGUAGCGGUGAAAUGCGUAGAGAUUGGGAAGAACACCGGUGGCGAAAGCGCUCUGCUGGGUCAUAUCUGACACUGAGGGACGAAAGCUAGGGGAGCGAAAGGG